UUUUUCAACUCCCCGAGGCUUGCCGGAAUUGGCCCCUCCAAGUUGCCAUGGUAUGCAGAAAGGAUACUCAAUUGCGAAAGGUUCCCUAGCGAUGAUGGUAUGAGGCCAGACAAGCUAUUAUUAUGCAAGACUAGCUGGAUCAAUUUUACUAGCUUACCGAUGCUCUUGGGAAUCACUCCGGAUAUCGGAGUAUUUGCUAUCACAAGUAUACUCCCAGAGAACCUAUUGUCCUGUAAGUUUAACCACUGGAGAGUCGUUGAGAGGUUCACAAUUGAACCCGGUAGUUGUCCUCCAAAGGAAUUUUUGGGUAGUGCCAAUUUCUGCAGUUGGCUGCAAUUUGCCAAGGAUGUUAUAAAUUCCCACCCCUUGUUGUCAUUCGCUUCGAUUUCAUUGUUACCCAACUCCAGAUAUUGGAGAGCUCCGAGCCACCCCAAUGUGGGAGGCAUAUACCCACUAAAUUUGUUCUGUGUGAGGUCAAGUGAUAUGAGGGAAGAUAUGUUGGAUAUUGAGGAAGGGAUGGUUCCUGUGAAGUGA
RNAcentral lists this ribosomal RNA (534 nucleotides) under Triticum aestivum (bread wheat). RNAcentral describes it as "partial small subunit ribosomal RNA". Lineage: Eukaryota; Viridiplantae; Streptophyta; Magnoliopsida; Poales; Poaceae. The record is from RNAcentral.